UUGGAUUCACCACACUCAUUCAACCACCGUAACUGGUAGGGAGCUGGAUGCUUGAUGCAUGUCAACCCUGCUUUUUCCAUGAAUAGAGUGUUUACCACAUUAACACAGCUACCACUAUCAAUGAUCAUUCCAUAUACCUUACCAUUAAUAAGAAAUCGCAUGUGAAAAAUGUUCUCCCUCUGCUUGUUUUCUUCACUCCUUACUUGCACGUUGAGAACUCUUCAGAAAACAAGAACAUUACUCCUAAGUGGAGCAUCUUUGAUGGAUUGAGACAUAGUAUAGUAGUUGCAGGAAUGGUUAGCGAAAAGAAUACAU
RNAcentral lists this long non-coding RNA (315 nucleotides) under Carica papaya (papaya). RNAcentral describes it as "long non-coding RNA (CPAP_LNC009298)". Lineage: Eukaryota; Viridiplantae; Streptophyta; Magnoliopsida; Brassicales; Caricaceae. The record is from RNAcentral.